This 464-nucleotide ribosomal RNA is filed under the name uncultured bacterium. Its description in RNAcentral is "bacterial SSU rRNA". It matches the Rfam family "Bacterial small subunit ribosomal RNA", at positions 28 to 484 of the family's 1533-position model. The record is from RNAcentral.
GAUGAACGCUAGCGGCAGGCUUAAUACAUGCAAGUCGUGGGGCAGCACAGUAUAGCAAUAUAUGGGUGGCGACCGGCAAACGGGUGCGGAACACGUACGCAACCUUCCUACAGGCGGGGAAUAGCCCAGAGAAAUUUGGAUUAAUACCCCAUAAAAUUUUGAGAUGGCAUCAUCUUAUUAUUAAAGAUUUAUCACCUGAAGAUGGGCGUGCGGCUGAUUAGGUAGNGGUCGGGGUAACGGCCCACCAAGCCUACGAUCAGUAGCUGAUGUGAGAGCAUGAUCAGCCACACGGGCACUGAGACACGGGCCCGACUCUACGGGAGGCAGCAGUAAGGAAUAUUGGUCAAAUGGACGCAAGUCUGAACCAGCCAUGCCGCGUGGAGGAUGAAGGUCCCUCUGGAUUGUAAACUUCUUUUAUCUGGGACGUAAAAAGGGUUUUCUAACUCGUCUGACGGUACCAGAUG